This 279-nucleotide ribosomal RNA is filed under the name uncultured bacterium. RNAcentral's name for it is "partial 16S ribosomal RNA". It matches the Rfam family "Bacterial small subunit ribosomal RNA", at positions 506 to 784 of the family's 1533-position model. The record is from RNAcentral.
UGCCAGCAGCCGCGGUAAUACGGAGGGGGCUAGCGUUGUUCGGAAUUACUGGGCGUAAAGCGUGCGUAGGCGGAUCGACAAGUUGGGGGUGAAAUCCCGGGGCUUAACCCCGGAACUGCCCUCAAAACUGUCGAUCUAGAGACCGGGAGAGGUAAGCGGAAUUCCUAGCGUAGCGGUGAAAUGCAUAGAUAUGCCAUAGAACACCAAUUGCGAAGGCAGCUGACUGGGCCUGUAUUGACGCUGAGGCACGAAAGCGUGGGUAGCGAACAGGAUUAGAUA